Molecule: ribosomal RNA, 326 nt
Filed under: uncultured archaeon
Lineage: Archaea
Description: bacterial SSU rRNA
Rfam family: Archaeal small subunit ribosomal RNA
Source: RNAcentral
CCCUACGGGGCGCAGCAGGCGCGAAAACUUUACACUGCGCGAAAGCGCGAUAAGGGGACCUCGAGUGCGUGCGCAAUGCGUACGCUUUUCAGAUGCCUAAAAAGCAUCUGGAAUAAGGGCCGGGCAAGACCGGUGCCAGCCGCCGCGGUAACACCGGCGGCUCAAGUGGUGGCCGCUAUUAUUGGGCUUAAAGGGUCCGUAGCCGGACCAGUUAGUCCCUUGGGAAAUCUUACGGCUUAACCGUAAGGCUGCCAAUGGAUACUGCUGGUCUUGGGACCGGGAGAGGUAAGAGGUACCUUAGGGGUAGGAGUGAAAUCCUGUAAUCC